AUGAUCGCAGGGAAUGGAGUCUCCCGCAGACCGCGCCACCGCUGAUGACUCCUGCCAAUGG
RNAcentral lists this non-coding RNA (61 nucleotides) under Hyphomicrobiales bacterium. RNAcentral's name for it is "Rhizobiales bacterium Fluoride sequence". It matches the Rfam family "Fluoride riboswitch aptamer (crcB RNA motif)". The record is from RNAcentral. Lineage: Bacteria; Pseudomonadati; Pseudomonadota; Alphaproteobacteria; Hyphomicrobiales.